AGUGAACGCUGGCGGUAGGCCUAACACAUGCAAGUCGAACGGCAGCACAGUAAGAGCUUGCUCUUACGGGUGGCGAGUGGCGGACGGGUGAGGAAUACAUCGGAAUCUACUUUUUCGUGGGGGAUCACGUAGGGAAACUUACGCUAAUACCGCAUACGACCUACGGGUGAAAGCAGGGGAUCUUCGGACCUUGCGCGAUUGAAUGAGCCGAUGUCGGAUUAGCUAGUUGGCGGGGUAAAGGCCCACCAAGGCGACGAUCCGUAGCUGGUCUGAGAGGAUGAUCAGCCACACUGGAACUGAGACACGGUCCAGACUCCUACGGGAGGCAGCAGUGGGGAAUAUUGGACAAUGGGCGCAAGCCUGAUCCAGCCAUACCGCGUGGGCGAAGAAGGCCUUCGGGUUGUAAAGCCCUUUUGUUGGGAAAGAAAAGCAGCAGGUUAAUACCCCGCUGUUCUGACGGUACCCAAAGAAUAAGCACCGGCUAACUUCGUG
RNAcentral lists this ribosomal RNA (492 nucleotides) under uncultured bacterium. RNAcentral's name for it is "partial 16S ribosomal RNA". It matches the Rfam family "Bacterial small subunit ribosomal RNA", at positions 29 to 507 of the family's 1533-position model. The record is from RNAcentral.